Molecule: long non-coding RNA, 156 nt
Organism: Eublepharis macularius
Lineage: Eukaryota; Metazoa; Chordata; Lepidosauria; Squamata; Eublepharidae
Exons: 3
Source: RefSeq, a predicted model, not a curated record
CUACUGGACUCUUGCUCUUUUCCACUGCUACAGACGGACUAACAUCACUACCCAUCUUGAUCUGUUCACAGUGGCCACCUUAACUACAGGUUCUUCGCAUCAUCACAUUAGCAGGACAUGACAUGCUAGCAAGAGGAUAAAAGAUCUUUAUAUGUG